This 1059-nucleotide long non-coding RNA is filed under the name Homo sapiens (human). RNAcentral describes it as "HSALNT0298875". Lineage: Eukaryota; Metazoa; Chordata; Mammalia; Primates; Hominidae. The record is from RNAcentral.
CUUUACGCAGCUUAACAGAAUGACUUUAAUGCUUCUUCAAGUUUUCCAUUUUCUUCCACAGGGCUUUGUUUCGAAAAAUAACAAAAUGAGGUAAUAAGUUAAUGUAAAGAAAGUGACUGCGGGGUGGCUGGAAAGAUUCGUCGUCCUGAGAAGUCGCGUGCUGGAGGUGGAGUGUGUCUAGAAGCAUUUGCGGUGGACGAUGGAAGGGCCGGCCUCGUCGUACUCCUGCUUGGUGAUCCACAUCUGCUGGAAGAGCGUCUCCGGGCAGCGGAAGCGCUCGUUGCCGAUGGUGAUGACCUGCCCGUCUGGCAGCUCGUAGCUCUUUUCCAGGGAGGAGGAGGAGGCGGCCGUCGCCAUCUCGUUCUCGAAGUCCAGGGCCACGUAGCACAGCUUCUCCUUGAUGUCGCGCACGAUCUCGCGCUCAGCUGCGGAGGGCAGAAGCAGGAGAGGAGCCCUCACUCAGGGGCCGCCGCCGGCCCUCCCGCCCGGGGUGCAGGGGCGCCGCGCACCUGUGGUCACGAAGGAGUAGCCACGCUCAGUGAGGAUCUUCAUCAGGUAGUCGGUGAGAUCGCGGCCCGCCAGGUCCAGGCGCAUGAUGGCGUGCGGCAGCGCGUAGCCCUCAUAAAUGGGCACGUUGUGGGUCUCAAACAUGAUCUGGGUCAUCUUCUCGCGGUUGGCCUUGGGAUUGAGGGGGGCCUCGGUGAGCAGGGUGUGGUGCCAGAUCUUCUCCAUGUCAUCCCAGUUGGUGAUGAUGCCGUGCUCGAUAGGGUACUUCAGGGUCAGGAUACCUCUCUUGCUCUGAGCCUCGUCGCCCACGUAGGAAUCUUUCUGACCCAUACCGACCAACUGCUACUCUCGGCUCGGGCCCUGGUCGCCGCGGAGGGGAAGCGAGGCUUCACUUGGCGCUGUCCGCUGCGGUGGCCGCUUGUCCCUCUGCUCAGGUUUUAUAUAGCCCGCGGGCAUUCCCUCCGCGCCACCCCGCAGGAAUGUCGCUGCCCUUCUCGAGCCAUAUUUGGGUGUUGGGCACUAGAGCCCCCUCCCUCGGCCGGUUCGCGGCCU